This 253-nucleotide ribosomal RNA is filed under the name uncultured bacterium. RNAcentral's name for it is "partial 16S ribosomal RNA". It matches the Rfam family "Bacterial small subunit ribosomal RNA", at positions 524 to 776 of the family's 1533-position model. The record is from RNAcentral.
UACGUAGGGAGCGAGCGUUAUCCGGAAUUAUUGGGCGUAAAGCGUGCGUAGGCGGUUCGUUAAGUCAAAUCUGAAAGCCCCCGGCUUAACCGGGGAGGGUGAUUUGAAACUGGCGGACUUGAGUACGGCAGAGGUAAGUGGAAUUCAAUGUGUAGCGGUGGAAUGCGUAGAUAUAUUGAGGAACACCAGUGGCGAAGGCGGCUUACUGGACCGGAACUGACGCUGAUGCACGAAAGCGUGGGGAGCAAACAGG